Molecule: ribosomal RNA, 581 nt
Filed under: uncultured bacterium
Lineage: Bacteria
Description: partial 16S ribosomal RNA
Rfam family: Bacterial small subunit ribosomal RNA
Source: RNAcentral
UGGGGAAUUUUGGACAAUGGGCGAAAGCCUGAUCCAGCAAUGCCGCGUGUGUGAAGAAGGCCUUCGGGUUGUAAAGCACUUUUGUCCGGAAAGAAAUCCUUGGCUCUAAUACAGUCGGGGGAUGACGGUACCGGAAGAAUAAGCACCGGCUAACUACGUGCCAGCAGCCGCGGUAAUACGUAGGGUGCAAGCGUUAAUCGGAAUUACUGGGCGUAAAGCGUGCGCAGGCGGUUUGCUAAGACCGAUGUGAAAUCCCCGGGCUCAACCUGGGAACUGCAUUGGUGACUGGCAAGGCUAGAGUAUGGCAGAGGGGGGUAGAAUUCCACGUGUAGCAGUGAAAUGCGUAGAGAUGUGGAGGAAUACCGAUGGCGAAGGCAGCCCCCUGGGCCAAUACUGACGCUCAUGCACGAAAGCGUGGGGAGCAAACAGGAUUAGAUACCCCUGGUAGUCCACGCCCUAAACGAUGUCAACUAGUUGUUGGGGAUUCAUUUCCUUAGUAACGUAGCUAACGCGUGAAGUUGACCGCCUGGGGAGUACGGUCGCAAGAUUAAAACUCAAAUGAAUUGACGGGGUCAUAGCUG